This 484-nucleotide ribosomal RNA is filed under the name uncultured bacterium. RNAcentral describes it as "partial 16S ribosomal RNA". It matches the Rfam family "Bacterial small subunit ribosomal RNA", at positions 30 to 507 of the family's 1533-position model. The record is from RNAcentral.
AGUGAACGCUGGCGGCAGGCCUAACACAUGCAAGUCGAGCGGCAGCGCGGGGGCAACCCUGGCGGCGAGCGGCGGACGGGUGAGGAAUUCGUCGGAAUCUGCCUUUUUGUGGGGGAUAACGUAGGGAAACUUACGCUAAUACCGCAUACGUCCUACGGGAGAAAGUGGGGGACCGCAAGGCCUCACGCAGAAAGAUGAGCCGACGACCGAUUAGCUAGUUGGUGGGGUAAAGGCCCACCAAGGCGACGAUCGGUAGCUGGUCUGAGAGGAUGAUCAGCCACCCUGGGACGGAGACACGGCCCAGACUCCUACGGGAGGCAGCAGUGGGGAAUAUUGGACAAUGGGCGCAAGCCUGAUCCAGCCAUGCCGCGUGUGUGAAGGAGGCCUUCGGGUUGUAAAGCACGUUUGUCCGGAAAGAAAUCCCUGGAGCUAAUACCUUCGGGGGAUGACGGUACCGGAAGAAUAAGCACCGGCUAACUUCGUG